GACGAACCGAGCGAACGUUGUUCGGAAUUACUGGGCGUAAAGGGCUCGUAGGCGGCCAACUAAGUCAGACGUGAAAUCCCUCAGCUUAACUGGGGAACUGCGUCUGAUACUGGAUGGCUUGGAUUUGGGAGAGGGAUGCGGAAUUCCAGGUGUAGCGGUGAAAUGCGUAGAUAUCUGGAGGAACACCGGUGGCGAAGGCGGCAUCCUGGACCAAUAUUGACGCUGAGGAGCGAAAGCCAGGGGAGCAAACGGG
This 253-nucleotide ribosomal RNA is filed under the name uncultured bacterium. Its description in RNAcentral is "partial 16S ribosomal RNA". It matches the Rfam family "Bacterial small subunit ribosomal RNA", at positions 524 to 776 of the family's 1533-position model. The record is from RNAcentral.